This 496-nucleotide ribosomal RNA is filed under the name uncultured bacterium. RNAcentral's name for it is "partial 16S ribosomal RNA". It matches the Rfam family "Bacterial small subunit ribosomal RNA", at positions 29 to 507 of the family's 1533-position model. The record is from RNAcentral.
AUGAACGCUGGCGGCGUGCCUAAUACAUGCCAGUCGAGCGAACAGACGAGGAGCUUGCUCCUCUGACGUUAGCGGCGGACGGGUGAGUAACACGUGGAUAAUCUACCUAUAAGACUGGGAUAACUUCGGGAAACCGAAGCUAAUACCGGAUAAUAUAUUGAACCGCAUGGUUCAAUAGUGAAAGACGGUUUUGCUGUCACUUAUAGAUGGAUCCGCGCCGCAUUAGCUAGUUGGUAAGGUAACGGCUUACCAAGGCAACGAUGCGUAGCCGACCUGAGAGGGUGAUCGGCCACACUGGAACUGAGACACGGUCCAGACUCCUACGGGAGGCAGCAGUAGGGAAUCUUCCGCAAUGGGCGAAAGCUUGACGGAGCAACGCCGCGUGAGUGAUGAAGGUCUUCGGAUCGUAAAACUCUGUUAUUAGGGAAGAACAAAUGUGUAAGUAACUAUGCACGUCUUGACGGUACCUAAUCAGAAAGCCACGGCUAACUACGUG